AUAAUCAGUGGAUGGCUGUAGCUGGCUCAGUUCAGCAGGAACAGGGGUCU
Cyprinus carpio (common carp) is the source of this 50-nucleotide microRNA precursor. The record is from Ensembl. Lineage: Eukaryota; Metazoa; Chordata; Actinopteri; Cypriniformes; Cyprinidae.